ACAUGCCUACAACAUAGUGUUAAUGCACCAGAUCCCAUUAGAACUCUACAAUUAAGCACGCUCGGGCUAAAGUAGUACUAGGAUGGGUGACCACCCAAGAAGUCCUAAUGUUUUACAUGUC
Non-coding RNA from Picea glauca (white spruce), 121 nucleotides. The record is from Rfam. Lineage: Eukaryota; Viridiplantae; Streptophyta; Pinopsida; Pinales; Pinaceae.